CGGCACGCCUAACACAUGCAAGUCGAACGAAGUAGCAAUACUUAGUGGCAGACGGGUGAGUAACAUGUGGGUAUCUACCCUUUGGCCUGGAAUAACACGAGGAAACUUGUGCUAAUACCGGAUAAGUCUUUACGGAGAAAGCUUUAUGCACCAUUGGAUGAGCCUGCACUUGAUUAGUUUGUUGGUAGGGUAAUGGCCUACCAAGACUAUGAUCAAUAGCUGAUUUGAGAGGAUGAUCAGCCACAUUGGGACUGAGACACGGCCCAAACUCCUACGGGAGGCAGCAGUGGGGAAUCUUGCACAAUGGAGGAAACUCUGAUGCAGCGAUGCCGCGUGAGUGAAGAAGGCCCUUGGGUUGUAAAGCUCUUUCGUCGGGGAAGAAAAUGACUGUACCCGAAUAAGAAGGUCCGGC
This 412-nucleotide ribosomal RNA is filed under the name uncultured bacterium. RNAcentral describes it as "bacterial SSU rRNA". It matches the Rfam family "Bacterial small subunit ribosomal RNA", at positions 40 to 497 of the family's 1533-position model. The record is from RNAcentral.